AGGAUUGCAUGGGCGCAAGCCUGAUCAGCAAUGCCGCGUGCAGGAAGAAGGCCUUCGGGUUGUAAACUGCUUUUGUCAGGGAAGAAAUCUUCUGGGCUAAUAUCCCGGGAGGAUGACGGUACCUGAAGAAUAAGCACCGGCUAACUACGUGCCAGCAGCCGCGGUAAUACGUAGGGUGCGAGCGUUAAUCGGAAUUACUGGGCGUAAAGCGUGCGCAGGCGGCUUUGCAAGACAGAGGUGAAAUCCCCGGGCUCAACCUGGGAACUGCCUUUGUGACUGCAAGGCUAGAGUACGGCAGAGGGGGAUGGAAUUCCGCGUGUAGCAGUGAAAUGCGUAGAUAUGCGGAGGAACACCGAUGGCGAAGGCAAUCCCCUGGGCCUGUACUGACGCUCAUGCACGAAAGCGUGGGG
Molecule: ribosomal RNA, 410 nt
Filed under: uncultured bacterium
Lineage: Bacteria
Description: bacterial SSU rRNA
Rfam family: Bacterial small subunit ribosomal RNA
Source: RNAcentral